RNAcentral lists this long non-coding RNA (4468 nucleotides) under Arabidopsis lyrata. Its description in RNAcentral is "long non-coding RNA (ALYR_LNC000764)". Lineage: Eukaryota; Viridiplantae; Streptophyta; Magnoliopsida; Brassicales; Brassicaceae. The record is from RNAcentral.
CUCACUUCUGGUUUUGAUUAGCCAAAGCAGAUUCCCCAAAGUUAUGGAGUCUCCGACCAAUGAGAUAACGGUCAUCACGGAUGGAGUUGUGAAGGUUUCUGAACCAGAAGCAGAAGAAGAUCACCGAGAGACAGCCUAUCCAUGUGAAUCUGUAGACCGCCGAGUUCACUACUAGCGGAUAGCCGAGCAUUGGAAACACGCCUCUCGCCAGGACAUAAGGCACGCAUAAAGCUGUUAGGAGUUUCAUCACAAUCGGGAACACAAUCUCUCCAAGUACCCAUAACCCUUGAAGCCUUGUGAAGCCAUCUUCUCUUACCCUCUCAAACUUUGCUCUCCAGCUAUCAUCCACUAUAGGAAGCAUAUGGUCCAGCAUUACCUGCCCAAUGACGUUGUUUUUUAGUGACAAAAUAUCGUCUUAUGUGGCAAAAAUUGCUGAUUUGAAGAAAAUUACUUACCAGUCUAGUCCAGAUCUUCAAAAAGAUGAGCCCAAGAGCCCAGUCUUGGUACAGGAGGAAGACAGGGCUUUCAUCAACUGGGACUCUCAUUGGGACAAUAACCAAAAGCUCAAACAGAAGUCCAAUUAGCACCGGAAUGAUAAAAACCUGUUUAAUCACCAUUUUAAAAGCACAGAAUCCAGAAUUAGUAGAGUUUGGAGUAUCUCAAAAAUUGAAAAUAUAACAGUACAAACCACUUACCCAUAUGGCUAACAGCACCGAGCUCUUGGAAACAAUCUCACACCAUUUCCAUAUUUGGUUAAGCAAGACUGAAGUCCUCUUCGACUUGACAUGCUCAAUAGCGUACGUGGCCCCAGAUAUGGUAGUCCACAAGGCAUAUGUGCCAAUGACAAAAGCAUACAGGUCUACAGAUUUAGGAAAUUCUGUUAGUAAUGUUUAUAAUGUGUAACCGUUAGAGAGAAUGACUCAGAAGAUAAAAAAUUAUAGACAUUACCAUUGCAUUUGAUGCCAUGAGUUGUUGGGAGAAUUGGGAUGACACUGAAUAGAGUACGUCCAACCGAAACUGGUACAACUAUCAAUGCCGAAUUGAAGAGAAGAAGAGUCACCCAUGCAACAAGUAGGAGGAUUAUCCGGACCACAAAGUUGUACCUGCUAAAAAAUUACAUUCAUUUCCGGGGAAGACCUAAUGAAAACUUUUAUGUACCUAGUCAACUAUAUACCAAGCGAACACUCCUUUUAAUUACUACAAGCAUGCAAAUAUUAGAAGCAUCAAAACAAGCUAUUAUCUUAUUUCUUAAGUAAUAACUUACUCUGAAUCAGAUUGUUUUUCAUCAUCUUCAUAUUCCUCACCCGUGUUGACACUCCCAGCACAUAGGCGACUUCUGUUAGGGUCACCAGCUGCUGGAAGAACAGCCAUGGGCCUAUCUGGUCUACCGACCUGCAAUACUUGUACUCUGUUCUGCCUUCCUGGUUCACCGUUUCCAUUGUCCUGACCAAUGUUGUCCUCUGGUCUUGGCAAGAGGAAGUCUGUCAAACCAAGCGCCCAACCAACACCAGUGAACCAGUAACGUAGAAGGGACUUAAUUGAGGUCUGGAAUCUGAAAUGUUUGAUAACAAAUGGUAUGCAUAUUUGUAACAGAAGCAUGUCGGCUGGAAUCUCAGUGAAUGGGUCGGAUACACUGCAUAGAUGCACAAGUUAGGAAAGACCUCAAACACAAAAUCUCCAAAAACAAGAGGUUAGUCAAUAUUUCUUACGAUAUGUCGAGUGGAAAGAUUGAAGGAGCCAUCCGGAUCGCAAGUUUGACUGGCAAAAAUACCAGCAUGACAAUCAAACUUCCAUACACUGCAGUUUCUAACAGAACCUUCCGAGCUUGCUUGUGUACUGGAUCAUCAAUCAUAUCUUGGAACGGAUCGACAUUAGGAUCUUCAAGAUAAUCAAGGAAAUACAAAACUCCAGGUCGAAGAACCUGCAAUUGGCACAGAAGUGAAAAAAUAUUAGGUAGUACAGAGAAAAAACUGUUUCCAUAAUGAAAUUAUGAUCAAGGAAAACACAGUACCUCUCGAAGAAGGCUUUCGAAGAUCAUUGUAAACAUGAGGUACAUGAAUCCAACAACCCAAUGAAGAAGUGAGCUUACCAAUGGAGAAGUUGAUAAAAACUGUACUCUGUGGGACAUUGUUUUACCAAACAUCCCAACCGUGCAAAUAUCUAGCGACCACCCACACAUCAGAGGGAAGACCCCUAAGAAGUAGACAUAAAAACAGGUAGCUUUGAGCAUAGUCAUCAGAUGCCUCAUUGCUGCCGAGAACUGUUUAAGGAGGGAUGAUACAGCUUCUUCUUCACCAUCAGCGUCGUCCAAACCAUGAAAACUCUGUUCAACCUGAGCCUCGAUACGAACUGCUUGUAUGCCCAACCUUUCAAGAACAUUUUCAGGGUUCCUAUUAACAAUCUGACCAACCGCAGCACCCUGAUCCCCAGCAUCUUCGCAAUUCUCCUCUCCCGCAAGAUUCCUAUUAGCCUGUCCAGCAGGUCUUCUGACAGCACGAGCACCAUUUCUGUCCACUUCAUCGUCUCUCUCUUCUUGCCCCCUUAGCUCUCGCAAACGCCUAAAGAUCACCUUUAGUAUAAUUACUCCAAAGUAAAAGAAGUAAAUUGUUGCCGACAGUAAGAACCCAUGCAAACAAUCAGUGAGAAUUACUGUGGUGGAGAUGUGACUUAAGAACAACCGCUGAGCUUCACCAAAACUCCGUACAAAAGCCAAUCGCCAUACCCAAAAUGUGAUAUAAGGAAUAGUGAUAAACCAGGCCGAAAUCAGGAAGCUCAACCGCAGAAAGAAGUGUAAAACACCGAAAAGUUUCGUGGCAAUGGCAACUACAAACUCCUGGAAAGGGAGCCUUGUUGGAGCAUUUUCAGCAUACACUGGGGAGAAUGAAAAAGGAUGUUUGCAAACCUGCAGAGAUAUAGUGAGCAAUAAGCUUCAAUCACUCUAUUAAACUCAAAUAAUCUGGAUUCAUGAACUCCAAUAAUAAGGAUGAGUUCCAUUCUAGGUAAAACUACGACCUAUAAGAAACAUUUAUAGAAAGAGCACUUCAAACUCUGCAAUAUAGUCUUAUUGAAGCUCACUACCUAUGACCAAAUCGUAGAGAGACAAACUGAGAAGGUUACCUAAAACCAUAAAAAAAACACAGAUAAAGCAAAUCUUCUAUAAGGGAGAGACAAAACCUCGCAGUGACGAGCUUUGCAGUGAUUAAGCCACUGAAGGAGGCAAUCCUGGUGAACAAAUUUGAUGCUCCCGCGGCAGGUGCACGGAUACCGAAGCGGAUUGUCCGUAUCCCCAGGAAUUCUGCAAAUCCUGCACAAGUCCUCCUCAUCUUCAACUGCCACCGUAGCAAAUGCGUGAUCCAUGGUGGAGAAAGCGGUGGAAGAGGCCUGAUUCGGCGACGAAGCAGACAGGCGCGAGGAGGAUGACGAAGAAGAUACCGAAGGCUCCGAGACGACCUCAGAGGCGGUUGCGCCAGAGAUGGACAACGAUUCGGCGGAGGAAAUCUCCAUGGAGAACUAGGAACAACGUAGCGAGCUUCAACUCGGUGCAGCGAGUCAACUCAGUGACUCGGAUUACGCCGACCCACGGUGAUAUUGAGGAGAAGGGUCACACUAAGCUCCCGCCAAUUCACAACGCCGAGCUAAAAGGGUCGGUCUAUCGCAGUUUAUUGUUAUCCGACUAAAUUGAUUAUAUGGUAGGACUAGACCGGGACUUGUAAACCGGUAAUUGACGAAAUUAAUUUUGGUUAAUAAUAGCCUAAGUUCAUCACUAAUGUUCAUAAAUUAUCUUUUUCUGUGUUCCUCUUAUUUUUAUAUCGUUGGAAAAGAAAAAACCAAAACAAUAUCAAUGAAUAUGAUCACACAUCGCCAAAUAAAUCUUCAAAUUAAAGACUUACGUGCACUAACAUAAGAGGUAAGAAUUUGCAAUUCGCGAUGGUUAUAAUAGAAACACACAAGGCAUACAUAUGGACAAACGAAGCAUUAUUCUAAAGAUGUUUUAGUUUAGUACACAAAGAAAAAGAAGAGAAUCAUCAACGGAUAUAAUAAUUUACACAUCGACUAAUAAAAUAAAAUCUUUCAAAGCCAUCUCUUAACGGCUUAAGUACACAACUGUUAAACGCCUCAGUGCACAGUUUCCAACUGAGUUUGACAAAAUACCUAAGCUUCUUGUUGGAUUGCACGUCUGAGCCUAAGUCCAUUAUCAACAUCUCCCUCACGUCCUAUCAGGACACCAUCUCCUGCAUCCUCACUACUUUGGUUUUGGUUUUGAUUUGCCAAAGCAGCUUCCCCAAAGUUAUGCAGUCUCCGACCAAUGAGAUAACGGUCAUCACGGAUAGAGUUGUGAAGGUUUCUGAACCAGACAUGGCAUCUUUUUGCACAGAAGCAAAAGAGGCUCACUGAGAGACAACCUAUCCAUGCGUAUCUGUAGACCGCUGAGUUCACUACUAGCGGAUAUCCGAGCAUUGGGAACACU